UGCGUAGGUGGAUAUUUAAGUCAGGGGUGAAAUCCUGGAGCUCAACUCCAGAACUGCCUUUGAUACUGAGUAUCUUGAGUUCGGGAGAGGUAAGUGGAACUGCGAGUGUAGAGGUGAAAUUCGUAGAUAUUCGCAAGAACACCAGUGGCGAAGGCGGCUUACUGGCCCGAUACUGACACUGAGGCACGAAAGCGUGGGAGCAAACA
RNAcentral lists this ribosomal RNA (206 nucleotides) under uncultured bacterium. RNAcentral's name for it is "partial 16S ribosomal RNA". It matches the Rfam family "Bacterial small subunit ribosomal RNA", at positions 568 to 774 of the family's 1533-position model. The record is from RNAcentral.